CGGAACACGUACGCAACCUUCCUUUAACUGGAGAAUAGCCCCUCGAAAGAGGGAUUAAUACUCCGUAAUAUAAUGAAGAGGCAUCUCUUUAUUAUUAUAGCUCCGGCGGUUAAAGAUGGGCGUGCGCCUGAUUAGAUAGUUGGUGAGGUAACGGCUCACCAAGUCUGCGAUCAGUAACUGGUGUGAGAGCACGACCAGUCACACGGGCACUGAGACACGGGCCCG
This 225-nucleotide ribosomal RNA is filed under the name uncultured bacterium. RNAcentral's name for it is "partial 16S ribosomal RNA". It matches the Rfam family "Bacterial small subunit ribosomal RNA", at positions 109 to 334 of the family's 1533-position model. The record is from RNAcentral.